This is a long non-coding RNA of Alexandromys fortis (reed vole), 556 nucleotides long. RefSeq lists it as uncharacterized. Lineage: Eukaryota; Metazoa; Chordata; Mammalia; Rodentia; Cricetidae. The record is from RefSeq and is a predicted model, not a curated record. The transcript is spliced from 3 exons.
UGUCCCGAGGGCUCGCCUCCCUGGAACAGGGAAGCGAAGUACCGGCAGUGGUUUUGACGACCCUCAACCCUCCCCGAUUCCGUCCCAACCUUCGACCGCCGCCACCUGGGUACCUCGGGCAAGAAGAACAGAAAAGCCAGAGGAAGACACCUGCCGGCGGCUGCAGGGCCUCAGCCCUACUUUGCCGGGACAGCCAAGGUUCUCCAGAGAACCCCACCCCCACCCCCGCGGGGGCAGAACAGGGCCCUCGCGACUCGUCCGCCCAGGGCUAAGUUACCCGGGCAGCUGGGACGAACAAGCAGCCUGGCUCUCCUGCAACAGAAAUUUGGAUUGUUUCACCAUUUUAUAUUUUUAUCAGCAGUGGCACUUCCUAUUUCCUGGAAUCUGAGAAACCUGGGUGGAAAGCCUGUUGUAGAAUGUUCUCCUAUUCUCCCUCAUCAGAACACCUCUGCCUACUUGCAAGCAAGCCUCCAGCUGCAACUCACUGAGUGGAUUCGCUCACAGAAGAAGGGGUAGACUCACCCGAGAUUGCAGGUACUCCCGUUUGCACCUGCUG